AUACGGAGGGUGCAAGCGUUAAUCGGAAUUACGGGGCGUAAAGCGCGUGUAGGUGGUUAUGUAAGUUGGAUGUGAAAGCCCCGGGCUUAACCUGGGAAUUGCAUUCAAAACUGCAUGGCUAGAGUCUGAUAGAGGGAAGUGGAAUUUCCGGUGUAGCGGUGAAAUGCGUAGAUAUCGGAAGGAACACCAGUGGCGAAGGCGGCUUCCUGGAUCAAGACUGACGCUGAGGUGCGAAAGCGUGGGGAGCAAACAGGAUUAGAAACCCCAGUAGUCC
This 274-nucleotide ribosomal RNA is filed under the name uncultured bacterium. RNAcentral's name for it is "partial 16S ribosomal RNA". It matches the Rfam family "Bacterial small subunit ribosomal RNA", at positions 523 to 796 of the family's 1533-position model. The record is from RNAcentral.